GCACCAGGCAGUUACAGGGUCUGCCGGAGGCUGCUGACCCAAGAUCCCCAAGGGAAAUCUCAGCACCACUCCCGAUGUUAGCCGUCCUUCACUGAUUUUUCACAGAAGAAGACGUUUCGGUGGCUCCUUCCCUGCUCUCUGGCUGCUGUUCAGACACCAUCAAUCCCUUUAGCAGAACUGGGACUGGCUUC
Long non-coding RNA from Eptesicus fuscus (big brown bat), 191 nucleotides. RefSeq lists it as uncharacterized. The transcript is spliced from 3 exons. The record is from RefSeq and is a predicted model, not a curated record. NCBI's taxonomy places the organism in Eukaryota, Metazoa, Chordata, Mammalia, Chiroptera, Vespertilionidae.